UAGCAGCACAGAAAUAUUGGCACAGGGAAGCGAGUCUGCCAAUAUUGGCUGUGCUGCUCCA
This 61-nucleotide microRNA precursor is filed under the name Pongo abelii (Sumatran orangutan). Its description in RNAcentral is "Pab-Mir-15-P2d_pre stem-loop". It matches the Rfam family "mir-16 microRNA precursor family", at positions 10 to 75 of the family's 82-position model. Rfam says of the family: The hairpin precursors (represented here) are predicted based on base pairing and cross-species conservation -- their extents are not known. In this case the mature sequence is excised from the 5' arm of the hairpin. RNAcentral also lists the same sequence under 1 other name. The record is from RNAcentral. Lineage: Eukaryota; Metazoa; Chordata; Mammalia; Primates; Hominidae.